This 71-nucleotide non-coding RNA is filed under the name chicken gut metagenome. The record is from RNAcentral.
AAAGGGGUGCUUUAAAAAGCUGAGAUUAUACCCGAUGAACCUGUACGGAUAAUGCCGGCGUAGGGAGAGAU